CACUUUUGUUUUGCACACUUGCUGUUUGCUGAAAUGCUUGAGUUAGGAUUCUAUUUAAGUUAAUUAUUGUUAUUGAUAGUUAGAUAAACUUGGAGAAUUCAAUAUCCUUCGAAGAUGGCUGUUUGUAGUUAGAAAGUUUAGGGAUGAUGAUUAUUCUUUUAUUUUCCAGGUGCAGGUUUGCGAGUUAAGAUUGUUUUUGUGUUGCAUGAGAAGAAUUGUUGGUUUGAUGUUAUAGAUUGGAUUAUGACAAAGUGGAUAAGCCUCAACAUCUUGUGAUUUUUCUGUGGCAAUUUGUGAGGUAAUGCCUUUUAGUUGCUAUAUAACAAAGACCAUCUUUUUGUUUCCGUUCCACAUUGAAUAAUCAUUCGAAUCUCUUGUCACAAGCAUCGCCAUGCUACACUAUCUUUUCCAUGUUAAGAUUAAACCAUCAUUUGCGAUCAAUCCAUUUACCACCAUUAAGUAUUUCUCCUCCAGAGCGCCUUCUAUCACAUCUUUUCUCCUAAAACAAUGCAAAUCCUUAACCCAAACCUACCUCAUCCAUCAGCAGGUGGUAGUCCAAAACCUUACCCACAUCACCACUUCCCACCUCAUUGCUGCUUACAUUUUCCACAACUCUCCUUCCCAUGCUCUAUCCCUUCUGAUACGCCGUUCACCCUCAACUUCCUCCUCCUACUGGUGGAAUAUGCUAAUCCGUCGUGCUGUUAACCUUAGGCUACUUGACAAUGCACUCCAUCUUUUCCUCCUUAUGGUGAGGUUUGGAUGGCAUCCUGAUCAGUACACUUUCACUUUCGUCCUUAAGGCCUACGGGGAGCUCAACUACUUUUGUAGUGGCUCUUCUGUUCAUGCUCUGAUUUGCACAAGUGGGUUUGAUUCAAAUGUCUUUGUUUGCAAUGCACUAGUGGCUAUGUAUGCUCGAUGUGGGGCCUUGGGCUAUGCUCAACAGAUGUUUAACGAUAUGUAUCAGAGAAGGAUUUAUGAUAGUGUUUCAUGGAAUACAAUUGUAGCAGCUUACAUGCAAAGCGGCAAUGUAGAAACUGGGUUUAUGUUGUUUGAUAAAAUGACUGCUGAUGUAAAAGUUCGGGUGAAUGCUGUUAGUCUUGUCAGUGUGCUUCCUGCAUGUGCAUCCGUUGGCUCGUGGUUGAGGGGUAAGCAAGUGCACGGUUAUGCAAUGAGGAAUGUGUUGUUUGAGGAUGUAUUUGUGGGAAAUGCAUUGGUGGAUAUGUAUGCAAAAUGUGGAAUGAUGGAGGAGGCGAAGAAGGUUUUUGAGAGGAUGAAGGUGAAGGAUGUGGUUUCUUGGAAUGCCAUGGUUACAGGGUAUUCUCAAAUUGGUAACUUUGAAGAUGCUCUUGGGUUGUUUGAGAAGAUGAUGAAUGAGAAGAUACAAUUAGAUGUUGUGACGUGGAGUGCUGUGAUUUCAGGAUAUGCACAGAGGGGACAUGGGUAUGAAGCGUUGGACGUAUUUAGACAAAUGCAGUCUUGUGGGUCAAAGCCAAAUGUUAUUACUCUUAUGUCACUUCUUUCAGGUUGUGCUUCUGUUGGAGCAUUGCUUCAUGGAAAGGAGACACAUUGUUAUGCCAUCAAAUGUUUUUUGAGUUUAAAUCUAAGCGAUUCAGGAGAUGAUCUUGUGAUAAUUAAUGCUUUAAUUGACAUGUAUGCUAAGUCCAAGAAACUUGAUGUGGCGCGUGCAAUGUUUGAUACAAUUGCACCAACAGAUAGGAAUGUUGUGACUUGGACUGUCAUGAUUGGUGGUUAUUCUCAACAUGGGGAAGCCAAUGAUGCACUAAGACUUUUUGCUCAAAUGGUCCAGCAGGAUAGAUCUGUAAAGCCAAAUGCUUUCACUUUAUCUUGUGUUCUGAUGGCUUGUGCUCGUUUGGCUGCACUGAGGUUUGGUAGAGAAAUUCACGGUUUUGUUUUGCGGAGCCAGUAUGAAUCAAAUAUUCUAUUUGUGGCUAACAGCCUUCUGGAUAUGUAUUCAAAAUCAGGAGAUAUUAAUACUGCUAGAGUUGUAUUUGAUAACAUGCUGCAAAGAAAUGCUGUUUCAUGGACAUCCUUGAUGACAGGUUACGGUAUGCAUGGGCAUGGAGGUGAAGUUCUCCAGCUUUUUGAUGAGAUGAAAAAAAAAGGUCUAGUGCCUGAUGGUGUAACCUUCCUUGUGGUGCUUUAUGCUUGUAGCCACUCAGGAAUGGUUGAUCAAGGAUUAAAGUAUUUCCAUGGCGUGAGUAAGGAAUUUGGUAUUAGCCCAGGGCCAGAUCACUUUGCUUGCAUCAUUGACUUAUUGGGUCGUGCGGGUCAUUUGGAUGAAGCUAUGAAACUUAUAAAAGAUACGCAAAUGGAACCAAGCCCUGUUAUUUGGGUGGCACUGCUUAAUGGUUGCAGGAUCCAUGCUAAUGUGGAACUCGGGGAAUAUGCUGCAAAUCAAUUGCUAGAAUUGGAGUCAGAGAAUGAUGGCUCAUAUACGUUGCUCUCAAACAUCUACGCAAAUGCUGGGCGUUGGAAAGAUGUAGCCAGGAUUAGAUUUUUGAUGAAACAUACUGGGAUUAGGAAGAAGCCUGGUUGCAGCUGGGUACAGGGAAAGAAAGGCACUGCAACCUUCUUUGUAGGUGACCGGACCCAUCCACAGUCUCAAAAAAUAUACGAAAUCCUUGCAGACUUGAUUCAACGCAUUAAAGCCAUGGGAUAUAUCCCAGAGACAAGCUUUGCACUUCAUGAUGUGGAUGAUGAAGAAAAAGGUGAUCUUCUUUUUGAACACAGUGAGAAAUUGGCUCUUGCAUAUGCAAUCCUAACAACAGCUCCAGGGGCACCCAUCCGGAUCACAAAGAAUUUACGCAUCUGUGGUGAUUGCCACACUGCUAUAACUUACAUAUCCAUGAUUAUUGAAUAUGAAAUUAUUUUGAGAGACUCAAGCCGCUUCCAUCAUUUCAAGAACGGAUCUUGCUCCUGCAGAGACUAUUGGUGACGCUGGAAUGUUACUGUCCAGUUGAGUAAUUAAAUGUUUUGAAGCUUUUGAAAUGUAAAUUUUUUUUUUCUGUAUACUUUCAUUAUACUUUUUUGCCAGGUAUUUGAAGUCGGCAAAUAGAAAUAGUUUUUUGACACUGCAAUUUGUUUGUGUGUGUGUGUGUGUGUAUUUAAAGGUUGUAAUGGGUUCAAUAUUCUUUUAGUAAGCGAGUAUUGGUAGCUGGAAGUUGAUGGCCAGCUCUCUACUCUAUGCGAAGCAAUUCGGAGAUCAAUACAAAUUGUUGAUCAGUGCUCAUGUUUACAAGAAGCAAUUCUUUCUCAAACUUGUCCACUUCAAAAAAUUAGUAAACACUUUCAUUUCACUUCAAUUCUAUGCUUGUAGGUUCCCUGUGCUUGGCUAGUCUAUGAGAAUUUAGUCCCCAAUUUUACCAUUUAUGAUGUUGAAUAUCCAGAUCAUCUGUUUUGCAAGUUCACUGAUGACAGUCAAUACCUGAAAAGUUAUGCAGAAACCAUCAGGAUGUGAUUGUUUAUAGACCAACAUGGCUGUUGUUUUCAUGUAAGGAGGAAUAUCAUGAAAAGCCCGGAGGUUUGAGAGUUUUUUCACCCAAAUAUAUACAAGGACUUUUUUUUUUUUUUUUUUUUUUUUUUUGUUUAUGAUGGAGAAUAACAAAUUCUGACUUGUGCUACAGAGAAUCUGUUCCAUUCAUAGAAAAAAUAACAUUUCGCCUCAUGAGGUUGGAUGUAAUGGUCCUUCUUUAUGAUUCUAUUAAUAUAGCCAGUGAAAGCGUGUAUGGUUGUAGGAUGAUUUACUGGCAUUGUUACCGAACCAGGAACACAGGAAGCUUUGUUGAUGUGCAGGCAGUUGGUAUAUUUUCUUGCGGAGAUGAUGGCCUUCACGUAUAUCAA
Molecule: RNA transcript, 3861 nt
Organism: Pistacia vera
Lineage: Eukaryota; Viridiplantae; Streptophyta; Magnoliopsida; Sapindales; Anacardiaceae
Gene name: pentatricopeptide repeat-containing protein At5g16860
Exons: 3
Source: RefSeq, a predicted model, not a curated record